RNAcentral lists this ribosomal RNA (371 nucleotides) under uncultured bacterium. RNAcentral's name for it is "bacterial SSU rRNA". It matches the Rfam family "Bacterial small subunit ribosomal RNA", at positions 527 to 896 of the family's 1533-position model. The record is from RNAcentral.
GAAGGUGGCUAGCGUUGCUCGGAUUUACUGGGCAUAAAGCGCGCGUAGGUGGUUGUGUAAGCGGGAGAUGAAAGCCCAUGGCUCACCCAUGGAACUGUCCCCCGGACUGCACAGCUCGAGGAAGGAAGGGGAGAAUGGAAUUCCCGGUGUAGCGGUGAAAUGCGUAGAUAUCGGGAGGAACGCCGGUGGCGAAAGCGAUUCUCUGGUCCUUUCCUGACACUGAGGCGCGAAAGCUAGGGGAGCAAACAGGAUUAGAUACCCUGGUAGUCCUAGCUGUAAACGAUGGGCACUAGGUAGAGGGGGUGUCGAUACUCUCUCUGUCGUAGCAAAUGUGUUAAGUGCCCCGCCUGGGGAGUACGGUCGCAAGGCUA